CGGGCAGUAGGAUAGUGGCUAUUCCGCGUGGUUCGGGACUACGAAAUCGCGGGUUCAACUCCCGCCUGCCCGA
RNAcentral lists this transfer RNA (73 nucleotides) under Treponema sp. Its description in RNAcentral is "tRNA-Pro". It matches the Rfam family "tRNA". From Rfam's summary of the family: Transfer RNA (tRNA) molecules are approximately 80 nucleotides in length. Their secondary structure includes four short double-helical elements and three loops (D, anti-codon, and T loops). The record is from RNAcentral. Lineage: Bacteria; Pseudomonadati; Spirochaetota; Spirochaetia; Treponematales; Treponemataceae.